This 650-nucleotide ribosomal RNA is filed under the name uncultured bacterium. RNAcentral's name for it is "bacterial SSU rRNA". It matches the Rfam family "Bacterial small subunit ribosomal RNA", at positions 231 to 886 of the family's 1533-position model. The record is from RNAcentral.
UCGCGGCCUAUCAGCUUGUUGGUGGGGUGAUGGCCUACCAAGGCGACGACGGGUAGCCGGUCUGAGAGGGUGACCGGCCACACUGGGACUGAGACACGGCCCAGACUCCUACGGGAGGCAGCAGUGGGGAAUAUUGCACAAUGGGCGAAAGCCUGAUGCAGCGACGCCGCGUGAGGGAUGACGGCCUUCGGGUUGUAAACCUCUUUCAGCUCUGGAGAAGCCCUUUUGGGGUGACGGUAGGAGCAGAAGAAGCACCGGCUAACUACGUGCCAGCAGCCGCGGUAAUACGUAGGGUGCGAGCGUUGUCCGGAAUUAUUGGGCGUAAAGAGCUUGUAGGCGGUUUGUCGCGUCUGCUGUGAAAUCUCGGGGCUUAACCCUGAGCGUGCAGUGGGUACGGGCAGACUAGAGUGUGGUAGGGGAGACUGGAAUUCCUGGUGUAGCGGUGGAAUGCGCAGAUAUCAGGAGGAACACCGAUGGCGAAGGCAGGUCUCUGGGCCAUAACUGACGCUGAGAAGCGAAAGCGUGGGGAGCGAACAGGAUUAGAUACCCUGGUAGUCCACGCCGUAAACGUUGGGCGCUAGGUGUGGGGCUCAUUCCACGAGUUCCGUGCCGCAGCUAACGCAUUAAGCGCCCCGCCUGGGGAGUACGGA